Molecule: ribosomal RNA, 200 nt
Filed under: uncultured bacterium
Lineage: Bacteria
Description: partial 16S ribosomal RNA
Rfam family: Bacterial small subunit ribosomal RNA
Source: RNAcentral
AGCGAACGCUGGCGGCAGGCCUAACACAUGCAAGUCGAACGGACCCUUCGGGGUUAGUGGCGGACGGGUGAGUAACACGUGGGAACGUGCCUUUAGGUUCGGAAUAGCUCCUGGAAACGGGUGGUAAUGCCGAAUGUGCCCUUCGGGGAAAGAUUUAUCGCCUUUAGAGCGGCCCGCGUCUGAUUAGCUUGUUGGUGAGG